UACGAAGGGGGCUAGCGUUGCUCGGAAUCACUGGGCGUAAAGGGUGCGUAGGCGGGUCUUUAAGUCAGGGGGGAAAUCCUGGAGCUCAACUCCAGAACUGCCUUUGAUACUGAAGAUCUUGAGUUCGGGAGAGGUGAGUGGAGCUGCGAGUGUAGAGGUGAAAUUCGUAGAUAUUCGCAAGAACACCAGUGGCGAAGGCGGCUCACUGGCCCGAUACUGACGCUGAGGCACGAAAGCGUGGGGAGCAAACAGG
Molecule: ribosomal RNA, 253 nt
Filed under: uncultured bacterium
Lineage: Bacteria
Description: partial 16S ribosomal RNA
Rfam family: Bacterial small subunit ribosomal RNA
Source: RNAcentral